This is a ribosomal RNA of Cavia aperea (Brazilian guinea pig), 133 nucleotides long. The record is from Ensembl. NCBI's taxonomy places the organism in Eukaryota, Metazoa, Chordata, Mammalia, Rodentia, Caviidae.
GUCUAUGGCCAUACCACCCUGAACACGCCCAAUCCCGUCUGAUCUCGGAAGCUAAGCAGGGUCGAGCCUGGUUAGUACUUGGAUGGGAGAAACACUAGUUUGAAUUUUAUGCAAUUUUAAUGUGCCACAAACA